AAAGAAUCCUCAAGAAUCUCUGCAUAAAGCACCACGGGAUGUUCUCCCAGACACUGCAGAACCAGUGAAAAGACAGUAAUGUUUUGUCAUUAUGAAAGGGGCAAGGAUUCUGAAGCCCUCUGUUCUGCCACAGACAGAACCAGUGGAAGAUGCCCAACACUAAUCCACCCAUCCAUAUGCUUCAGUCCUAUCUUGGAAAGAAUACCAGAGGCACCUGGAAGCAGGAAGAAGAAGUAAUGAGAAACCCUGGAGAGUCCUGCUGAUGUGAUUCUGGACUGCAAAUCCCAGAGACCUUGGGGGCAGCAGGAAGAGGAAGCAAACAAACAGCCCAUGCUGACUGUGUGCCAGAGAGCUGUGCUGUAGUGCCUCCAGCUUCUGGUCUGAGCUGCUGCAGGCAUGUGGCUUCAUUUUCUGAAUCAAAAGUGAAUGUCUGUCCAGUUGUUUCUCAGGUUAAUCUCUGAAGCUUAGAUUACUGCUGUCUGUACUUAGCUGAAGAGUUGGGAAGAACAACUUCAGAGGACCUAUAAUCCUGGAAGGGAAUGUGCCCAGGUGCUCUGUCACCCUUGCAAUUUGACUGAUGCAUGGGAACUUGGAAGGGGAUUGACCCUUCUCAGUGCAAAUAAAAUAUUGGGACAAUCUACUUUCCAAACUUUAAAUAAUUAUUACUAAGCACACGGGAAUAGCUUUUUCAGAGACCUAUAACUUGGGCAGAUUGGGGUGGUGUUCUAUGAAAGCAAUAAAAGGCAAAUUUCUAACUCCAGAAUAGACUCCCCUGUAAAAUUUCAAAUCCCUGAGCCAAAGAAUGGAGGUAUUAGAGCUUCUCAAUGAAAUCUUUCUAAGGAUCUCUUUAAUGUGGGCAACAUUUAUUCUUAAUAUCUUUGUUUUCUGAAAUGGCUGCACUGUCAAAAACUGUAUGGUGGUGCUUUUGCUGAAUCUUUGCAAAGUUAAUAAAAAGAUUCAGCCUUGGACAGAUAAUCGGCAUGGAAACUACCAAUGCAAAUGUUUUAAAUUCAACAAAGUUAUCAAGAACUGAACAAUCUAAGCUACCUCUAUAACCUAUAAUACAUUUUUUGGUAAACAUUCAUCACCGAUACGACACUGCCUCUCAGUCUAUCCAUUGGUAGUUGAACAAUAUCUUGUAGACUUCCUGGGAGAGCUGACUUUUGAGGUCUUAAGGACCUCUUCAGAGGCCAUAUAUUUUAUAAGAAGCAGAAAUGAAAUCACAAAGAUAUUUAGGAAAGAAGAGGAUCUGUCAAGAACAGAUAAACAGGAAGAAGACUGGCAAAGACUUACCAGAAGUGCAUAUGCACACUCACAUUCUCAUGUUCUCUCUCUCUCCCCCCGUAUACAUGCAUGCACACACACACAUGUGGACACACACACAGGCGUGCACGCACACACAUACACAGAGUGUACAUUUAAGGGGGCAACAAUAUUUGUGGGGGUAUUUGAAGAGUGUAAACAACAAAGGGGGAAACUGACUGAGGUACCACAGAGGAAUUGGAUGAUACUGAAGAAAGAGCAGUUUUAAGUAAAAUCCUAGUAAAAGCUUCCUGGUCCAAAGAUUUAUUUUACUUUCUAUAAUUAAAUGCUUUAAAUAAUCCAUCUACUUACUCUAGGCAUAUGUCCAAUGAAAAUAAUUAUAUAUAUUACAUAUUAAUAAGAAAUUCUAAAUGCUUCUUUGUCCAAUUAAUACAUCAGAACCAUCAAUAAUAUCCUCACAAAACCCACAUAUAUCCUCCUUUUUCAUUCCAUUCUCAAGAAAUCUGGGAAAGCAGAUAAGCUCUAGCUAUGUACCAUGAGGAUAGACUAAUGGGACUCUGUCAUUUGAACAGAAGCAGCAAUUCUGAGAUAACCAGCUCAGCAAAAAUACUUCACAAAUAUUUAAAUAGUUACAAUCAAAUCUGGCCCUUCCUUCAUCUCAGGAGCUUUGUUGCUCGAGUAUAACAACUGAUCUCGUUUACUAUAAUACCACACCCACCCACACAGAGAACUUGGAUUCCUGAGAGAGGUGGAAAAGUCUUUUUUGAGAAGACCCAUUGCUUGGGAAUUUAGACCAGACAAAAUUCUCUCUCACUCUUGAGAGAGAUGGGCCUAUUAAGGAUCUGCUGCAAUGCCCAUUAAAUUCAACAGGAAUUCAUUUGUUCACAAACUCAGUUCACAGCAGAACCAGGAACUAAACUCAGGCUCUCCUUAGUCCCAGACCAGUGCUUUAAUCACAACUAUGAUGCUUUAACAAUGACAAUAAAUAUAAACUGUGCUUUUAAUGAAUACUAAUGCAGAUCCUAAGAGCUUCUAUAGGUGAACAGAAAUAGGUAGCCAAAUGGCCUUUAAAGAAAAACAAUGAUAUGAAUAAGUUUACAACUCUACUUUGCAAUCAUAACAACCAAAGUUUAAAAAUACUGUGACCAAAUGUGGUAAAUAAUGAUAGAGUAGAAAAGUGAUGCUGCUAUGGUAACUACUAAGGAUUCAGACAGGCUGUUGAUAUACAAUCUUAUGAGAUAUGUCAAACCAAACACUUUAUUCAUAAUCUUAAACUUCAAAAAAUUGACAAUUUAAAGUUAAAUGAAAUUAAAGAAGAGUUAUAUUUUUUUCCAGUUAGAGAUGCCAGAGUUAAGGCUGAGAUGAAAUGUCCAUGCUACUGCCUUCUCUUCAGCUGUAAUUUCUAAGACAUCUUAAAAGAAUAAGCUUUCCAUGGUUGGCUAUAGCCUGGUCAUGAGUUUCAGAAACUUAGAAGAAAAAAAAUUCAGACAAUUAAGAAUUACCUACUCUAGUGGGAGGAACAAAGGGAAAACCACAUUGUUCAUUCCCUGACAUAAUCCCUGUGAUGUUUAAAGUGCAUGUUCCA
Long non-coding RNA from Alligator mississippiensis (American alligator), 2848 nucleotides. RefSeq lists it as uncharacterized. The record is from RefSeq and is a predicted model, not a curated record. The transcript is spliced from 3 exons. Lineage: Eukaryota; Metazoa; Chordata; Crocodylia; Alligatoridae.